CUGACUCCCUGCUUCUCCGCAG
Molecule: microRNA, 22 nt
Filed under: Mus musculus (house mouse)
Lineage: Eukaryota; Metazoa; Chordata; Mammalia; Rodentia; Muridae
Description: mmu-miR-3077-3p
Source: miRBase by way of RNAcentral